GCUCAGAACGAACGCUGGCGGCGCGCCUAAUACAUGCAAGUCGAACGAGAAUGUGUAGCAAUACACAUGUACAGUGGCGAACGGGUGAGGAAUACAUGGGUAACCUACCCUCGAGUGGGGAAUAACUAGCCGAAAGGUUAGCUAAUACCGCGUACGCCUCCUGGACUGCGGUUCGGGAGGGAAAGCGAUACCGUGGGUAUCGCGCUCUUGGAUGGGCUCAUGUCCUAUCAGCUUGUUGGUGAGGUAACGGCUCACCAAGGCUUCGACGGGUAGCUGAUCUGAGAGGAUGAUCAGCCACACUGGCACUGCGACACGGGCCAGACUCCUACGGGAGGCAGCAGUAAGGAAUAUUGCGCAAUGGGCGAAAGCCUGACGCAGCGACGCCGCGUGGGGGAUGAAGGUCUUCGGAUUGUAAACCCCUUUCGGGAGGGAAGAUGGGAUGGGGUAACCCAUUCGGACGGUACCUCCAGAAGCAGCCACGGCUAACUUCGUGCCAGCAGCCGCGGUAAUACGAAGGUGGCAAGCGUUGUUCGGAUUUACUGGGCGUACAGGGAGCGUAGGCGGUUGGGUAAGCCCUCCGUGAAAUCUCCAGGCUUAACCUGGAAAGUGCAGAGGGGACUGCUCAGCUAGAGGAUGGGAGAGGAGCGCGGAAUUCCCGGUGUAGCGGUGAAAUGCGUAGAGAUCGGGAGGAAGGCCGGUGGCGAAGGCGGCGCUCUGGAACAUUUCUGACGCUGAGGCUCGAAAGCGUGGGGAGCAAACAGGAUUAGAUACCCUGGUAGUCCACGCCUUAAACGAUGGAUACUAAGUGUCGGCGGGUUACCGCCGGUGCCGCAGCUAACGCAGUAAGUAUCCCGCCUGGGAAGUACGGCCGC
RNAcentral lists this ribosomal RNA (872 nucleotides) under uncultured bacterium. RNAcentral's name for it is "bacterial SSU rRNA". It matches the Rfam family "Bacterial small subunit ribosomal RNA", at positions 22 to 889 of the family's 1533-position model. The record is from RNAcentral.